UACGGAGGUCCCAAGCGUUGUUCGGAUUCAUUGGGCGUAAAGGGUGUGUAGGUGGCGCCGUAAGUCGGGUGUGAAAUUUCGGAGCUUAACUCCGAACCUGCAUUCGAUACUGCGGUGCUUGAGGACUGGAGAGGAGACUGGAAUUCAUGGUGUAGCAGUGAAAUGCGUAGAGAUCAUGAGGAAGACCAGUGGCGAAGGCGGGUCUCUGGACAGUACCUGACGCUGAGACACGAAGGCCAGGGGAGCAAACGGG
This 253-nucleotide ribosomal RNA is filed under the name uncultured bacterium. RNAcentral describes it as "partial 16S ribosomal RNA". It matches the Rfam family "Bacterial small subunit ribosomal RNA", at positions 524 to 776 of the family's 1533-position model. The record is from RNAcentral.